This is a long non-coding RNA of Marmota monax (woodchuck), 1019 nucleotides long. RefSeq lists it as uncharacterized. NCBI's taxonomy places the organism in Eukaryota, Metazoa, Chordata, Mammalia, Rodentia, Sciuridae. The transcript has 2 exons. The record is from RefSeq and is a predicted model, not a curated record.
UGACUGCGUUACUAGUACUGUCCUUGAUGGAGUCUGCCUGCAAACGGGAUAUUCUGUCAAGGUAUAGAUAGGUAACAGCGGACAUGCUUGAAAACGAGGUGUCUGCUGUCCUUGGGAGGACUUGCCUGCAAACGGGAUGUUCUGCCAAGUGCGCUAGGAGGGCGCUGAGAAAAAUUUUAUUAUCUGUUCUUAACAAGAGCAGAGCUCGGCAUGCUCCAGGCCGAGAGUAGAUGAGCCAUGAGAAUCGGGUCACUUCUGAUUAGAAAGUAAAACUUCUGUGUGCUGUUUAAUUAGCUGAAAGACCUGAUUCAUUGCUGUUGGAAGGCUGCCUUCUUUGUUCACAAGACUAUAGAAAGAUCGCUUGUAUGCAACAAAGGACUUUUUUUUUCUGCUGCUGCUUUGCUUGCUCUACUUCUUCUUUCUCACGCUGACCUGCGAGUGAGCUACUGCAACAUUUGGCGUAGAUGGCAGGAUCCAGCACCGAAAGGUAACAGAAAACGGACUGAUAUAAGCAGUGAAAUAAAGAAGAUCAUGUGUUGGGAGACCCUGCUGGGAAGAGGGGCAGCGUUAACACACCUAUUGGGUUCUACCCAGGUCACAUGGAAGGAUGGAGCAAGGACCACUCGUACACAAGGAACUUGGGGUCAGGAGCCCCUGAGCUUUCAGAGCACCCCUGUUUCCCAGGGAGGAUGGGUCAGGCAACCCUGGGACUGCCCACCUGUCACAGGCAAAGGUGAAUACUUGGUCCAGUAGAGAAAUCAAGAAGCCAGGGAUGAAGCCCCACCCGAGAGGGCCAGAAGAUGAAGGGGGAAGAGGGCAGGAGUGCUGGCAAACACGAACGGGACCCUCUCUGCUGCUGUGGGAUUGCGACACCAUAUUUAACAUGAAUAGUUGGAUGGGAAUACGCAAUAUCAGCUCUAUCUCAAUCACUUCAAGUAUAAUACUGGGACGUGUGGUGUAGAAAAUAUUUUGUCUCCAAGAUACAAUAAAGUCAAACCUUGGAAAUGACUAAAAUUACA